This is a long non-coding RNA of Dipodomys ordii (Ord's kangaroo rat), 615 nucleotides long. RefSeq lists it as uncharacterized. Lineage: Eukaryota; Metazoa; Chordata; Mammalia; Rodentia; Heteromyidae. The transcript is spliced from 3 exons. The record is from RefSeq and is a predicted model, not a curated record.
UCUUAAUAGGCUGUUCACCCCAGAUGCAGGCAUCAGUCUCAGUCAGAACACAGCGUGGACAUGAGGGCCCUCACUCAGCGCCUGGGUCUCCUGCUGCUCUGGAUUCCAAGUACCAGAUGCGACAUCCAGAUGACCCAGUCUCCAUCCACUCUGUCUGCAUCUCCUGGAGACAGAGUCACCAUCAAAUGUCAGGCCACUCAGGGUGUUAGCAAUGAGUUAAGCUGGUACCAACAGAAACCAGGGAAAGCACCUAAACUCCUGAUCUAUGCUGCAAACAGGAAUCCCCUCUAGAUUUAGUGGCAGUGGACGUGGGACAGAGUUCACUCUUACCAUCAGCAGUCUGCAGCCUGAAGAUGUUGCAAGUUAUUUCUUUAUGCAUGAUUAUAAUCUCCUGCCCACAGUGAUACAAACCCUAACAUAAACCACCAGAGGAGCAGAAGUGUGAGGCUGGGCUGCCCCAGCUAUUUUCCUCAUGUGUCCACUUGCAGGAUCUGUCCUAGAAACAUAAGAUAGGAAUCCUGCCCAUGCUUACCUGGAGCAGCAGUUAUCAAGAUUCACUUAUUAGUCAAGCUGUCAUUGCCAGGAGAACACUGAAUUCAAAGGACAGCAAUCCCA